AUUGAACGCUGCGGCAUGCCUUACACAUGCAAGUCGAACGGCAGCACGGGAGCUUGCUCCUGGUGGCGAGUGGCGAACGGGUGAGUAAUACAUCGGAACGUACCCAGGAGUGGGGGAUAACGUAGCGAAAGUUAACGCUAAUACCGCAUAUUCUGUGAGCAGGAAAGCGGGGGAUCGCAAGACCUCGCGCUCUUGGAGCGGCCGAUGUCGGAUUAGCUAGUUGGUGAGGUAAAAGCUCACCAAGGCGACGAUCCGUAGCAGGUCUGAGAGGAUGAUCUGCCACACUGGGACUGAGACACGGCCCAGACUCCUACGGGAGGCAGCAGUGGGGAAUUUUGGACAAUGGGGGCAACCCUGAUCCAGCCAUGCCGCGUGAGUGAAGAAGGCCUUCGGGUUGUAAAGCUCUUUCGGCGGGGAAGAAAUGGCAACGGCUAAUAUCUGUUGUUGAUGACGGUACCCGCAUAAGAAGCACCGGCUAACUACGUG
Molecule: ribosomal RNA, 486 nt
Filed under: uncultured Azospira sp.
Lineage: Bacteria; Pseudomonadati; Pseudomonadota; Betaproteobacteria; Rhodocyclales; Rhodocyclaceae
Description: bacterial SSU rRNA
Rfam family: Bacterial small subunit ribosomal RNA
Source: RNAcentral